CGUUCUGGGUGACAUCGUACCUUUUGUAUUAUGGGCCAGCGACUUAAUUUAACGAGCAAGCUUAAGCCGAUAGGCGAAGGCGCAGCGAAAGCGAGUCUGAAUAGGGCGUAUCCGCACAACAGUGUGUGGUGUAGUGGUGUGUUCUGGACCCGAAGCGGAGUGAUCUACCCAUGGCCAGGUUGAAGCAGCAGUAAGAUGUUGUGGAGGACCGAACCCACUUAGGUUGAAGACUG
This 233-nucleotide ribosomal RNA is filed under the name uncultured alveolate. RNAcentral describes it as "partial Bacterial large subunit ribosomal RNA". It matches the Rfam family "Bacterial large subunit ribosomal RNA", at positions 585 to 798 of the family's 2925-position model. The record is from RNAcentral.